Long non-coding RNA from Lonchura striata (white-rumped munia), 1485 nucleotides. NCBI's taxonomy places the organism in Eukaryota, Metazoa, Chordata, Aves, Passeriformes, Estrildidae. The record is from Ensembl.
CCCAGAGCGGGUUGGAGCCUCCCUCACUGGGGAUGGUCCGGACCCGCCCGGACACAGCGCUGCGCCCUGUGGUGGCCCCGAGCAGGGAGGCCGGGCACAUGAGGCACUGCGCUCCUUACACCCGGCCCGGUUCUGUGAGGGGAGAGCUGGGACGGGAGCUCCCGGCGCCGCCCUCAGCCGCGGCCCCGCGGCGCGCGCCCGCCGGAACCGAUCGCGCGCCCUUCCGCCGCGGGGUCACGUGACGUCCCGUCGGUCCCGCAAGAUGGCGGCGCCCAUGUUGGUGCCCGAGCCCCCCCUGGGGAAGCCGAGCCAUCAAAAGUACAGAGCUAUUCUGAAGAAGGAGAAGAGGAAAAAAAAGCGGCAGGCACUUGCCAAACUAAGAGACUCAGAAGCUGCAGAAAAAGAUGAAUCUGUGUCUGAGGAAGAAGAGGAGGAAAUGGAAGAAGAGGAGGAAGAAGAAGAAGAAAAAAAACUUGAGGCAGAAAGACAAAAACUACAUGAGCAGUGGUUGCUGAGAGAAGAAAAGGCCCAAGAAGAGUUCAAGCUAAAGAAAGAAAAAGAAGAGGCUGCAAGAAAGCGUCAAGAGGAAGAAGAGGUAUAAAGAUAUAAAACCUUACAGUAGUGCUAGACAACAAGAUAGACUUAGUGUAAUAACUGUGAUGGACCCUUUUUCUUGAUGCUGGUGUGUUUGAAAGCAUAGACUCUCCACUCUUUGUAUAGAAAAGCACAAUUGAAAAGAGAAGAAAACAACAGCUCUUAAAAUGGUAUUUGUCAGAUUUAGUUGCUUCUGACUGGAUGAAAACUUAAUGGUCGAGCAGUUGUAGUGAAACAUGGUAAUUUUGAUUGAUUGUAAAGUGUUGUUCUUUAUUUUUUUUAAUUAUAAAGAGGAAGAUCAAAGAAGAAUGGGAAGAGCAACAAAGAAAAGAGAGAGAAGUGGCACAGCAGAAGCAACAGGAGAAGAGAGAGAGAGAGGUGAUUUGUGGUGGUGGGAGGAUAUACAUGUUAUAUGUCCUGUGACAUGAUCAAUGCAACAGUUAUGCAUGCUGAAAAGCGAUUUUGUUGUAAUUAGCAAAUGCAUUAGUUAGCCCAUUCUGUCUAAGUUCCUAAACCAUUAUUCAGUGUUAAAGAGCAUUCAGGGGGUCCAUGUACUGAAGUAUAACUCUUGUUAACCCAUCUGGUUCUUCACAGUAUGUAAUUGUUUAUGUCAGGUGAAUACAAAGGUACUGUGCCAAUGCAGGUUGUGGUAAGUGCACUUUAUGCAUCAUGUGUUAAAGAUAAUCCUUCCUUAAUGUCCUAGUUGAACACAGUCAGUGCUGAAGAAAAUGCCCAAAGAGGAUUUGGAAUAUGGAAGUACAUUGCUGCUGUUCCUUAACGCAGUUCUUAAUCAAAAGAUGUGUUGCAGCUCUUCUUUACCUGACUCAUCCAACAGGACGUAUCUUUUUUCAGAGCUCCUUGGGUGGAAUAAAAAAUUAUAUUGAAGAUACA